CAGCAGCCGCGGUAAUGCGUAGGGUGCGAGCGUUAAUCGGAAUUACUGGGCGUAAAGCGUGCGCAGGCGGUUGUGUAAGACAGGUGUGAAAUCCCCGGGCUUAACCUGGGAACUGCGCUUGUGACUGCACAGCUAGAGUAUGGCAGAGGGGGGUGGAAUUCCACGUGUAGCAGUGAAAUGCGUAGAGAUGUGGAGGAACGCCGAUGGCGAAGGCAGCCCCCUGGGCCAAUACUGACGCUCAUGCACGAAAGCGUGGGGAGCAAACAGGAUUAGAUACCCCAGUAGUCCCUGUCUCUUAUAC
This 301-nucleotide ribosomal RNA is filed under the name uncultured bacterium. RNAcentral's name for it is "partial 16S ribosomal RNA". It matches the Rfam family "Bacterial small subunit ribosomal RNA", at positions 509 to 807 of the family's 1533-position model. The record is from RNAcentral.